GAUGAACGCUAGCGGCGUGCUUAACACAUGCAAGUCGAACGGUGAAGCUCCAGCUUGCUGGAGUGGAUCAGUGGCGAACGGGUGAGUAACACGUGAGCAACCUGCCCCUGACUCUGGGAUAACAGCCGGAAACGGCUGCUAAUACCGGAUAUGCACCAUGAACGCAUGUUCUGUGAUGGGAAAGAUUUUUCGGUUGGGGAUGGGCUCGCGGCCUAUCAGCUUGUUGGUGAGGUAAUGGCUCACCAAGGCGUCGACGGGUAGCCGGCCUGAGAGGGUGACCGGCCACACUGGGACUGAGACACGGCCCAGACUCCUACGGGAGGCAGCAGUGGGGAGUAUUGCACAAUGGGCGAAAGCCUGAUGCAGCAACGCCGCGUGAGGGAUGACGGCCUUCGGGUUGUAAACCUCUUUUAGCAGGGAAGAAGCGAGAGUGACGGUACCUGCAGAAAAAGCGCCGGCUAACUACGUG
This 469-nucleotide ribosomal RNA is filed under the name uncultured bacterium. RNAcentral's name for it is "partial 16S ribosomal RNA". It matches the Rfam family "Bacterial small subunit ribosomal RNA", at positions 28 to 507 of the family's 1533-position model. The record is from RNAcentral.